GACGAACGCUGGCGGUGUGCUUAACACAUGCAAGUCGAACGGUAAGGCCCUUUCGGGGGUACACGAGUGGCGCACGGGUGAGUAACACGUGAGUAACCUGCCCUCAUCUCUGGGAUAACAGUCGGAAACGGUUGCUAAUACUGGAUAUGAGCUUGCAAGGCAUCUUGUGGGUUGGAAAGAUUUUUUUUGGUUGGGGAUGGACUCGCGGCCUAUCAGCUUGUUGGUGCGGUAGUGGCUCACCAAGGCUUCGACGGGUAGCCGGCCUGAGAGGGCGACCGGCCACAUUGGGACUGAGAUACGGCGCAAACUCCUACGGGAGGCAGCAGUGGGGAAUAUUGCACAAUGGACGGAAGUCUGAUGCAGCAACGCCGCGUGCGGGAUGAAGGCCUUCGGGUUGUAAACCGCUUUCAAUUGUGACGAAGCUUUUUUGUGACGGUAGCAGUAGAAGAAGCACCGGCUAACUACGUG
RNAcentral lists this ribosomal RNA (468 nucleotides) under uncultured bacterium. Its description in RNAcentral is "partial 16S ribosomal RNA". It matches the Rfam family "Bacterial small subunit ribosomal RNA", at positions 28 to 507 of the family's 1533-position model. The record is from RNAcentral.